RNAcentral lists this ribosomal RNA (402 nucleotides) under Staphylococcus aureus. Its description in RNAcentral is "bacterial SSU rRNA". It matches the Rfam family "Bacterial small subunit ribosomal RNA", at positions 202 to 595 of the family's 1533-position model. The record is from RNAcentral. Lineage: Bacteria; Bacillati; Bacillota; Bacilli; Caryophanales; Staphylococcaceae.
AGACGGUCUUGCUGUCACUUAUAGAUGGAUCCGCGCUGCAUUAGCUAGUUGGUAAGGUAACGGCUUACCAAGGCAACGAUGCAUAGCCGACCUGAGAGGGUGAUCGGCCACACUGGAACUGAGACACGGUCCAGACUCCUACGGGAGGCAGCAGUAGGGAAUCUUCCGCAAUGGGCGAAAGCCUGACGGAGCAACGCCGCGUGAGUGAUGAAGGUCUUCGGAUCGUAAAACUCUGUUAUUAGGGAAGAACAUAUGUGUAAGUAACUGUGCACAUCUUGACGGUACCUAAUCAGAAAGCCACGGCUAACUACGUGCCAGCAGCCGCGGUAAUACGUAGGUGGCAAGCGUUAUCCGGAAUUAUUGGGCGUAAAGCGCGCGUAGGCGGUUUUUUAAGUCUGAUGU